RNAcentral lists this ribosomal RNA (482 nucleotides) under uncultured bacterium. Its description in RNAcentral is "bacterial SSU rRNA". It matches the Rfam family "Bacterial small subunit ribosomal RNA", at positions 67 to 579 of the family's 1533-position model. The record is from RNAcentral.
CGAGAAAGUGGAGCAAUCCAUGAGUAAAGUGGCGUACGGGUGAGUAACACGUGGGUAAUCUGCCUCUGGGUGGGGAAUAACUCUGGGAAACCGGAGCUAAUACCGCAUAAGCCUUGUAAGAGGGAAAGGUGAAAAUCGCCGAGAGAGGAGCCCGCGGCCGAUUAGCUAGUUGGUGGGGUAAAGGCUCACCAAGGCUGAGAUCGGUAGCCGGCCUGAGAGGGCACACGGCCACACUGGCACUGAAACACGGGCCAGACUCCUACGGGAGGCAGCAGUGGGGAAUCUUGCACAAUGGGGGCAACCCUGAUGCAGCGACGCCGCGUGAGUGAUGAAGCCCUUCGGGGUGUAAAGCUCUUUCGGCAGGGACGAUAAUGACGGUACCUGAAGAAGAAGCUGCGGCUAACUACGUGCCAGCAGCCGCGGUAAUACGUAGGCAGCGAGCGUUGUUCGGAGUUACUGGGCGUAAAGCGUGCGUAGGCGGU